GACGAACCGUGCGAACGUUGUUCGGAAUCACUGGGCUUAAAGGGCGCGUAGGUGGUUUGCCAAGUCGGGGUUGAAAUCUUUCGGCUUAACCGGAAAAGUGGCUUCGAUACUGGCAAGCUGGAGGGAGGUAGGGGCGGAUGGAACUUCCGGUGGAGCGGUGAAAUGUGUUGAUAUCGGAAGGAACGCCGGUGGCGAAAGCGAUCCGCUGGACCUCUUCUGACACUGAGGCGCGAAAGCCAGGGGAGCAAGCGGG
This 253-nucleotide ribosomal RNA is filed under the name uncultured bacterium. RNAcentral's name for it is "partial 16S ribosomal RNA". It matches the Rfam family "Bacterial small subunit ribosomal RNA", at positions 524 to 776 of the family's 1533-position model. The record is from RNAcentral.